CAGAAAAUAAUUUAAUUAAAAUAUUAGCCUUGGGUGCUAAAAUUCCUAUCUAUUAGGUUUUCUGA
This 65-nucleotide transfer RNA is filed under the name Erpobdella sp. JP-2021. RNAcentral's name for it is "tRNA-Pro". The record is from RNAcentral. Lineage: Eukaryota; Metazoa; Annelida; Clitellata; Hirudinida; Erpobdellidae.